RNAcentral lists this non-coding RNA (182 nucleotides) under Bacillus coahuilensis p1.1.43. RNAcentral describes it as "Bacterial large subunit ribosomal RNA". It matches the Rfam family "Bacterial large subunit ribosomal RNA", at positions 2742 to 2925 of the family's 2925-position model. Lineage: Bacteria; Bacillati; Bacillota; Bacilli; Caryophanales; Bacillaceae. The record is from Rfam by way of RNAcentral.
UGAACACCCUAUGUGCGGAAGGGAUAAGUGCUGAAAGCAUCUAAGCAUGAAGCCCCCCUCAAGAUGAGAUUUCUCUUUCUUUGAAGUAAGACCCCUGAAAGAUGAUCAGGUUGAUAGGUUCGAGGUGGAAGUAUGGUGACAUAUGGAGCUGACGAAUACUAAUCGGUCGAGGACUUAACCAA